UUCCGGUUGAUCCCGCCGGACCUGACUGCUAUCGGAUUGAUACUAAGCCAUGCGAGUCAUUGUAGUAAUACAAGGCAGACGGCUCAGUAACGCGUAGUCAACCUACCCUAUGGACGGGGAUAACCUCGGGAAACUGAGAAUAAUACCCGAUAGAACAUUAUGCCUGGAAUGGUUUAUGUUUCAAAUAAUUUAUUGCCGUAGGAUGGGACUGCGGCCUAUCAGUUUGUUGGUGAGGUAAUGGCCCACCAAGACUAUUACAGGUACGGGCUCUGAGAGGAGUAGCCCGGAGAUGGGUACUGAGACACGGACCCAGGCCCUAUGGGGCGCAGCAGGCGAGAAAACUUUGCAAUGUGCGAAAGCACGACAAGGUUAAUCCGAGUGGUUUCUGCUAAAGGAACCUUUUGUCAGUCCUAGAAACACUGGUGAAUAAGGGGUGGGCAAGUUCUGGUGUCAGCCGCCGCGGUAAAACCAGCACCUCAAGUGGUCAGGAUGAUUAUUGGGCCUAAAGCAUCCGUAGCCUGCUUUGUUAGUUUUCGGUUAAAUCCAUACGCUCAACGUAUGGGCUGCCGGGAAUACUGCAAAGCUAGGGAGUGGGAGAGGUAGACGGUACUCGGUAGGAAGGGGUAAAAUCCUUUGAUCUAUUGAUGACCACCUGUGGCGAAGGCGGUCUACCAGAACACGUCCGACGGUGAGGGAUGAAAGCUGGGGGAGCAAACCGGAUUAGAUACCCGGGUAGUCCCAGCUGUAAACUAUGCAAACUCAGUGAUGCAUUGGCUUGAUGCCAAUGCAGUGCUGCAGGGAAGCCGUUAAGUUUGCCGCCUGGGAAGUACGUACGCAAGUAUGAAACUUAAAGGAAUUGGCGGGGGAGCACCACAAGGGGUGAAGCCUGCGGUUCAAUUGGAGUCAACGCCGGG
This 914-nucleotide ribosomal RNA is filed under the name uncultured archaeon. RNAcentral describes it as "bacterial SSU rRNA". It matches the Rfam family "Archaeal small subunit ribosomal RNA", at positions 1 to 922 of the family's 1478-position model. The record is from RNAcentral.